Choloepus didactylus (southern two-toed sloth) is the source of this 1798-nucleotide long non-coding RNA. RefSeq lists it as uncharacterized. The record is from RefSeq and is a predicted model, not a curated record. The transcript is spliced from 3 exons. Lineage: Eukaryota; Metazoa; Chordata; Mammalia; Pilosa; Megalonychidae.
CGUCUCGGGAGACACAGCGACCGCGGGCAGCCGGGGCGGGACGGGUUCGCAAACGUCCGUGUGGGUUUGCCUUUCUAGCCUUUUUGUUUGUUUGCUUUUACAAAUUCUGUGUUAUCUUGGUUUUGAACACAAGACUUUUAGCUUAACUAGAAGUGGAAGAAACUUUUUCUUUAAAUUGUCUUUCCAAACCCCAAAGCCCUUGUUUUCUGCCCAGUUUGAGUAAUUUUGUUUGAAAUUCACCACCUGAAAUUCCCAAGCUAAAAGGAGAGCUGAAUUAAGCAAAGGGGACCUGCCUCCCAGCGAGCCCGGAGGUUCGUGGUAAUGGCGGCGGGGGCCUCUCGGACACGCGUUUCCACAAGGAAUGGCUGUAUAUCUAGUUGAAUCUCCCUGGGUUUGGGGUAAGAAAUAGAAGAUUUAAAUGAAGCUCAUGACGCCCGGAUCUUUGGUGCCAAAACAGAUUGCUUGGCAAAGGCCAGAGAGAAGAUUCUAAUCCUCCCAUGAUGCCUCCACCCCAUCGCUGUUGCUGCAUAAAACAGUCUCUGGCUGGCUCAGAUAUUCUGGAUUCCUUCUUCCUCCUCUUUGUAUAGAGUCUCUUCUGGAAGAUUUUUGUUAUAAGGGCCUAAAAUUGCCACAUUCUUUGGUGUGAUUAGUAAUAUAUUUGAUUACCUUUUUCUCCUUUCAACUCUGAGGUAAGGACUUUGUUAAUACAAAACUCAAUGUUUUCAAGGAACCUAAAUGUCACCUUUUUCUCUGGCCUGCACCCAUGUUCCCUUUAACCUCAUCACAUCCCAUCACAGCUGCUCUCUCCACUGGUUUAUUCUCCAUGUGCCAUUUAUUCCCCUCCUCCUCAUGCUCAAACCUCACCUUCACUUAGGCCUAAAGACCCAAACUGGAGAGGGCACUUUAGCUGAACAUAUCAUGUAACCAACUCCUGCCCUCAAAAAAGCCCAGGCUAAAAAUAGAAGGCCCUCAGCUCUGGUCGCUGGCACUGGCUGCAGGGACAGCCGUGUGACCUCGGGCACCAACCCAAAUAACAGCUCAGUGGCAAAUACCUUACCUGCAAGAUGAAGGGGUGACAGGAAGUGAUGAUGUUAAUACUAUAAGAUACAGUAAACAAAGGGGUGGGAAGAGAAAUGGAAGAUUUUUGAGGCUCCUGGCAGAGGCUUUAAGGAAGAAAGGCCUGGAAAGGCAAAAAUUUAGAAUCAGCCUCCAGACAUGCCCUCAGGAGACCCUACCUAAUUCUCCUGACUCAAACCUGAAAACUCCAGAGUCCACUCCACCCCUUUCCCUUUUAAGCAAGGUCAGUCGAGCUUAGUCCUGAGAGAGAAACUUCAGAGACCCAUUUAACUUACAGCCCUGGGUUCCAGAGACCAGUCUAAGUCCUUAGCUGCGCCUAUCUUCCCCCAGGCCACUUUUGUAAGAUUUUAUCUAAUUCUAGAAAACCAACAGGAGAUAGCUCUGGAAAUGCAGGCCAGAGAGAAAAAGCAAGGGGAGUCCCAAGAAAGAAAUUUUCUUGUUUUAUAAAGACUAGGAAUUUGCAGUUCCCAACCCCCCUCCUCCUGCUGCCCACCUUCCCAGAGCUGAUCUCUGGAACAGUGUGAAUCUCUGAUGCUGACAAACGUUCGGCUACCUCAACUCUGCACAGCAGCCAGCUCCUGUGCUCAGAGCUCCAUUAUGUGGAAGAGAAAGCGCUCAUUAUUUUCUAGAGGAUUUGGACAGCUAAAAAUCUCCCCAGGGGAAGUCUAAAAUCAACCACUGAAACCCACCAGACACACCCAUCACCACGCAGAUAGCCAAG